UGCGUAGGCGGUUUUGUAAGUCUGAUGUGAAAUCUAUGGGCUCAACUCAUAGUCUGCAUCGGAAACUGCAGGGCUUGAGUGUGGGAGAGGUGAGUGGAAUUUCCGGUGUAGCGGUGAAAUGCGUAGAUAUCGGAAGGAACACCUGUGGCGAAAGCGGCUCACUGGACCACAACUGACGCUGAAGCACGAAAGCCAGGGGAGCAAACAGGAUUAGAUACCCUGGUAGUCCUAGCCCUAAACGAUGACUGCUUGGUGUGACGGGUACCCAAUCCCGCCGUGCCGGAGCUAACGCGUUAAGCAGUCCGCCUGGGGAGUACGGUCGCAAGGCUGAA
This 332-nucleotide ribosomal RNA is filed under the name uncultured bacterium. Its description in RNAcentral is "bacterial SSU rRNA". It matches the Rfam family "Bacterial small subunit ribosomal RNA", at positions 568 to 898 of the family's 1533-position model. The record is from RNAcentral.